Molecule: long non-coding RNA, 1469 nt
Organism: Fundulus heteroclitus (mummichog)
Lineage: Eukaryota; Metazoa; Chordata; Actinopteri; Cyprinodontiformes; Fundulidae
Exons: 3
Source: RefSeq, a predicted model, not a curated record
CUCUGGUUGGUUAGCCCGUACGGUUCAUGUUGGCCCCAUCUCCCGGUGGGUGGGGCCGUGGGUCGUCUGGUCUGGGGCCAGGAUGGGGGUUGGGACUGGAGCUUCGACCGGGUAGGUCAGGUUGCGGUAGUGCCUGGACCUGGGAAUAUAGGAUGCGUGUGGUUGGGUUUGUACUCCCUCCUUUCUCAGGAUAUCUCACAUCUCCACUAAGUGUGGGGCCCACACCCCUGUCCUGCUCCCCUCUGCUGGCUGGCGCCUUGGCCAGCCGGUGCAUUAGUGGUUGUGAUGACCAAACCCAUGGCCACACUUUAAAAGAUAAAAGGGUUAUUAAACUUAACUCAGCUGGUGCCGUGAUGUGGAUCCCAACAUAUCGACUCGCUGAUGAGAGGAGCAACGCGCUGAAAACCCCUGGAGGUCUGAGUCAAGGACCUGUUGAAAGUCCCAGGAGGUAAUUUCCUCGCUGGGCCAGCGUCAUUUCGACAACAAGGGAUUGACGGGAUCCGACCGGGUAAGAAAGCCAAACAAAUCAAGUCCAUUUUAAAGCGAUCGGUUAAAGUCCGUCGUUCAGGGUUACGGGUGAUUAAAAGUUCCCCGCACAGGUGUGCAAGCGUUUUAAGUCCCUUGUUACGGGUGAUUAAAAGUUCUCCGAAAAGUUAAUCAAGAGUCUGAGUCCCUCGAAGCAAAACGGUUUAAGUCCGUCAUAUUUGGCAUUGGGGCUGUACGUACUGGAGGGUCGCGUUACGCCCGCCUGCUCUGAAAAUUUUAGUUUUGGCCCUAGGGGGGUUAAGGGAAACUCAGGUUAAAGUCCUGAAAAAAAGGGAAAACUCAGGUUAAAGUCCUGAAAAAAAGGGGAAACUCAGGUUAAAGUCCUAAAAGGUAGCUAAAAAAAAGAGGAUUAAGGUCCUGGAAAUUAUAUAAACACAACAGAAAAGUAAAAUAGGGGUUCAGGACAAAGUAGAAAGGGAAAUCCCAAAGGGGAUGAAAAAUUUAUGUAUCUGAUUGAUCCAAGUAAUUUAAAAUACUUGGAGAAGUGGAAGAAGAAGUAUAAUAUAGAUGGUGUGUUGAAAGUGAAUAGAUCGGAAAAUGUUGUGUGUCGGCUAGAAACAAGCACUGGUGCAAAAACAGGAAGAAAAAAACUGAAAAAAAUAAAAGAGCUUGAAAUUACGUGCUGUUGGUUAAAUCAAGCACAAAAAAGGCAGGAUGUGUGAGCAAAAAAUAAAGCAGACCGUCAGACAACUGUAAUGUUCAUGCACCCUGAAGAUAAUGAAACGCAACCGCACGGCCGUAGGCAGAGACAGCCCCGACCAGCAGGAGGGGGUGGGGUGGCCGAUGGAGCGGCGCGUCAAAGCCCCACUUCAUCACCUAUUUGGUCCCCUACAAUUUUAGGCCUGUGCAGCCUGCACAGUGGCACAGUGGGUAGCGCUGUUGCCUUGCAGCAAGAAGGUCCUGGGUUCGAGUACACCGCUGGG